RNAcentral lists this ribosomal RNA (392 nucleotides) under uncultured bacterium. RNAcentral's name for it is "bacterial SSU rRNA". It matches the Rfam family "Bacterial small subunit ribosomal RNA", at positions 96 to 524 of the family's 1533-position model. The record is from RNAcentral.
UGGCGGACGGGUGAGUAACACGUAGGAACGUACCCCAAACUGAGGGAUAAGCACCGGAAACGGUGUCUAAUACCACAUGUGAUCUUCGGAUUAAAGCUACGGCGGUUUGGGAAUGGCCUGCGUCCGAUUAGCUAGUUGGUGAGGUAAUAGCUCACCAAGGCGACGAUCGGUAGCUGGUCUGAGAGGAUGAUCAGCCAGACUGGGACUGAGAACGGCCCAGACUCCUACGGGAGGCAGCAGUAGGGAAUUUUCCACAAUGGACGAAAGUCUGAUGGAGCAACGCCGCGUGCAGGAUGAAUGCCUCCGGGUUGUAAACUGCUUUUGUCUGUGAUGAUUAUGACGGCAGCAGACGAAUAAGGAUCGGCUAACUCCGUGCCAGCAGCCGCGGUAAU